UCCCGAAAGCUUGCACAGGCCCAGCCUC
Molecule: non-coding RNA, 28 nt
Filed under: Homo sapiens (human)
Lineage: Eukaryota; Metazoa; Chordata; Mammalia; Primates; Hominidae
Source: RNAcentral